This 467-nucleotide ribosomal RNA is filed under the name uncultured bacterium. RNAcentral's name for it is "partial 16S ribosomal RNA". It matches the Rfam family "Bacterial small subunit ribosomal RNA", at positions 28 to 507 of the family's 1533-position model. The record is from RNAcentral.
GACGAACGCUGGCGGCGUGCUUAACACAUGCAAGUCGAACGGAAAGGCCCUGCUUUUGUGGGGUGCUCGAGUGGCGAACGGGUGAGUAACACGUGAGUAACCUGCCCUUGACUUUGGGAUAACUUCAGGAAACUGGGGCUAAUACCGGAUAGGAGCUCCUGCUGCAUGGUGGGGGUUGGAAAGUUUCGGCGGUUGGGGAUGGACUCGCGGCUUAUCAGCUUGUUGGUGGGGUAGUGGCUUACCAAGGCUUUGACGGGUAGCCGGCCUGAGAGGGUGACCGGCCCCAUUGGGCUUGGGUUACGGCCCGGCCCCCUCGGGGGGGAGGAGGUGGGGAUAAUUGCACAAGGGGCGGAGGCCUAAUGCACCACCGCGGCGUGCGGGAGGCGGCCUUCGGGUUGUAAACCGCUUUCGCCUGUGACGAAGCGUGAGUGACGGUAAUGGGUAAAGAAGCACCGGCUAACUACGUG